GACGAACGCUGGCGGCGUGCCUAAUACAUGCAAGUAGAACGCUGAAGGAGGAGCUUGCUCUUCUGGAUGAGUUGCGAACGGGUGAGUAACGCGUAGGUAACCUGCCUGGUAGCGGGGGAUAACUAUUGGAAACGAUAGCUAAUACCGCAUAAGAGUAGAUGUUGCAUGACAUUUGCUUAAAAGGUGCAAUUGCAUCACUACCAGAUGGACCUGCGUUGUAUUAGCUAGUUGGUGGGGUAACGGCUCACCAAGGCGACGAUACAUAGCCGACCUGGGAGGGGGGUCGGCCACACUGGGACUGGGACACGGCCCAGACUCCUACGGGAGGCAGCAGUAGGGAAUCUUCGGCAAUGGACGGAAGUCUGACCGAGCAACGCCGCGUGAGUGAAGAAGGUUUUCGGAUCGUAAAGCUCUGUUGUAAGAGAAGAACGAGUGUGAGAGUGGAAAGUUCACACUGUGACGGUAUCUUACCAGAAAGGGACGGCUAACUACGUG
RNAcentral lists this ribosomal RNA (495 nucleotides) under uncultured bacterium. RNAcentral describes it as "partial 16S ribosomal RNA". It matches the Rfam family "Bacterial small subunit ribosomal RNA", at positions 28 to 507 of the family's 1533-position model. The record is from RNAcentral.